AUAGUCGUAAGAAACAGAAGAACAAACACAAAAUUGGAUCAAACUUACUCGCAACUAAGUUUUGAGAAGAGAAACUUGGAAACUGGAGAAGAGCCAGAUUGUAUUGUUCUGUGGGAACUCACCCACACAAAGAAUGGAACAUGGUCUAACACAGAGUCCCAGGAUGUUUACGAUCCAAAGAACUAGCUCGAC
Long non-coding RNA from Triticum aestivum (bread wheat), 192 nucleotides. RefSeq lists it as uncharacterized. NCBI's taxonomy places the organism in Eukaryota, Viridiplantae, Streptophyta, Magnoliopsida, Poales, Poaceae. The record is from RefSeq and is a predicted model, not a curated record. The transcript is spliced from 3 exons.